GACGAACGCUGGCGGCGUGCCUAAUACAUGCAAGUAGAACGCUGAAGAGAGGAGCUUACUCUUCUUGGAUGAGUUGCGAACGGGUGAGUGACGCGUAGGUAACCUGCCUUGUAGCGGGGGAUAACUAUUGGAAACGAUAGCUAAUACCGCAUAACAAUGGAUGACACAUGUCAUUUAUUUGAAAGGGGCAAUUGCUCCACUACAAGAUGGACCUGCGUUGUAUUAGCUAGUAGGUGAGGUAAUGGCUCACCUAGGCGACGAUACAUAGCCGACCUGAGAGGGUGAUCGGCCACACUGGGACUGAGACACGGCCCAGACUCCUACGGGAGGCAGCAGUAGGGAAUCUUCGGCAAUGGGGGCAACCCUGACCGAGCAACGCCGCGUGAGUGAAGAAGGUUUUCGGAUCGUAAAGCUCUGUUGUAAGUCAAGAACGGGUGUGAGAGUGGAAAGUUCACACUGUGACGGUAGCUUACCAGAAAGGGACGGCUAACUACGUG
RNAcentral lists this ribosomal RNA (497 nucleotides) under uncultured bacterium. RNAcentral's name for it is "partial 16S ribosomal RNA". It matches the Rfam family "Bacterial small subunit ribosomal RNA", at positions 28 to 507 of the family's 1533-position model. The record is from RNAcentral.